Molecule: ribosomal RNA, 356 nt
Filed under: Sermyloides sp. BMNH 846593
Lineage: Eukaryota; Metazoa; Arthropoda; Insecta; Coleoptera; Chrysomelidae
Description: eukaryotic LSU rRNA
Source: RNAcentral
AAAUUCAUUCGCGUUUCGGCCGUCGAAGUUGGACGUUUGUAUGACGGAUGUAGUUCGACUGCGUCUGCGUCUUACGUUUUUCGAGUCGAUGUCGAACGCGUGCACUUUUCCUCUAGUAGGACGUCGCGAUCCGUUGGGUGUCUGUCUAAGACUUGGGGUGGAGCCCGUGCGAUUUCGAUCGUGCGGACCCUCGAUGUUCCGACAGACUCGCUCGACGGUAUACUAAUGGCGAAGGGGCGCUACCUCAGUUAGCGUUCGGCCCGUAGCAAGCACGUUCUGUGUUUGACAGCGAUCGGACCUGGUGCCGAUUCUGUUCCGGAACGACUGUUGGUUACGGUGUUCUCGAACAGACCUCG